Molecule: unclassified non-coding RNA, 1274 nt
Filed under: Athalia rosae (coleseed sawfly)
Lineage: Eukaryota; Metazoa; Arthropoda; Insecta; Hymenoptera; Athaliidae
Description: misc RNA ENSAEAG00005002447.1
Source: RNAcentral
UCUAGUGGUUCUGUCCCCGCCGUCGGGUUAGGUUAUUCAAUUGCUGCCAGUGGGUUUCGUGUGCAUGCUGACGUUUGUCAUUUUUUGGUUGAUAAACAAAUUAUCCUUACCAAGCAUUCCAUGGAAUACUUGACUACUUUAUUCACAGGCAAAUAACAGUUAACCAUGUUUGGAGUACUAGAACAAGUUUGGACGUUUUUGAAAUACUGGUAUUUUCGUUAUGCGCUAGUAACGGAGCUUUACAUGGUCGAAAAAUGGGAAAGGAAUGUUGUCCAUAUUUUCCUGUUGGCAAUGUUUGGGUUGUUUUUCUAUUUUAAUUACAGAGUCCUGGUUCCAUCGGCAUCACAAAUAUUGGUUCGAUUGUCAUGAAUUUUGAACUAGUGAAUGUUCAAUAACAAGUCACAAUACACACCAAUAUCCUCGGAAUAAAAUUUUUCCGUUUCUAAUGUUUUUUAUUUCCAAAUAAUGUUAAUGGUAUGCAAUGCAUGAUUUACAGUAUGUACAAUAUUGUAAUGAAUACAAUGUUACCAUAUAGGUAUAAUUCGGAUGAAUAAUGUAAUUUACACAUACUCUAAUGGCAGAGUAUGUGAAUUAAAGUUUAUAAAUGUUAAAUAUGCGUUCUAAGAUUUUGGGUAUGUUUAAAUUGAGUUAAAGAAUUAUCAUAAUAUGUGAUGUCGCUUCAUAUUAUUGCUUAUUUGUAAUUAUGAUGACGACAGUUAUAUUCAGGUGAAUGCUGUCACUAGAGUUUGUGAAUGGAGAACUAAAAACUUGGUCGUUACCGAUAUAAUUGGAUAAUGCACACAAAGCUAGACAGAAUUUCUCGUAUAUGUCUAGACCAAAAAUAUGAAUUUGUUCACUUUUCUAACAGUCCACGUUGCUAUUUUUUUCAUUUUACUUCAUAAUAUAGUCCCGAACUAAAUGCAGCUUACUUUUUCUCUUAUUUAUAUUUUUCUAUCCGGCUAAAUUAUCAUCCAACAAUGCUUAUUAAUAAUCACAUUUGAACUAUAAGAACUGUAAAAGAAUAAUUACGAUCUAUUAUUUUCGGCAGUUGUAUAUCGUACUGAAUAUUAAAACCAUUAUGAUUAAUUUAAUCAGUAAUACAUCUGAAUCAUAUACGAAUUAUGGAUGAUAGAACAAUAAAGAGUCUAGAAUUAUAGCUAGCACGGCCGAAAUUACUCUACGUUGCUUACAAAAAAGUUUUUUCCAACAAUAACAAAUAUAGAUUCGUAAUAUAUAGAUAUAUGUCAGCGUAUGAACUUCCACUACAAAUAUUU